This 301-nucleotide ribosomal RNA is filed under the name uncultured bacterium. RNAcentral's name for it is "partial 16S ribosomal RNA". It matches the Rfam family "Bacterial small subunit ribosomal RNA", at positions 509 to 807 of the family's 1533-position model. The record is from RNAcentral.
CAGCCGCCGCGGUAAUACAGAGGUUGCAAGCGUUAUCCGGAAUGAUUGGGUGUAAAGCGUCUGUAGGUGGCUUUUCAAGUCCGCCGUCAAAUCCCAGGGCUCAACCCUGGACAGGCGGUGGAAACUACCAAGCUGGAGUACGGUAGGGGCAGAGGGAAUUUCCAGUGGAGCGGUGAAAUGCGUUGAGAUCGGAAAGAACACCUACGGCGAAAGCACUCUGCUGGGCCGACACUGACACUGAGAGACGAAAGCUAGGGGAGCAAAUGGGAUUAGAUACCCCAGUAGUCCCUGUCUCUUAUAC